Molecule: ribosomal RNA, 851 nt
Filed under: uncultured Acidobacteriota bacterium
Lineage: Bacteria; Pseudomonadati; Acidobacteriota
Description: bacterial SSU rRNA
Rfam family: Bacterial small subunit ribosomal RNA
Source: RNAcentral
UACGUAGGGGGCCAGCGUUGCUCGGAAUUACUGGGCGUAAAGGGUUCGUAGGUGGUGCGGCAAGUUGGAAGUGAAAUCUCUGGGCUUAACCCAGAGGCUGCUUUCAAAACUGCCGUGCUCGAGUGCGAGAGAGGCCAGUGGAAUUGCAGGUGUAGCGGUGAAAUGCGUAGAUAUCUGCAGGAACACCCGUGGCGAAGGCGGCUGGCUGGAUCGCAACUGACACUGAGGAACGAAAGCUAGGGGAGCAAACAGGAUUAGAUACCCUGGUAGUCCUAGCCCUAAACCAUCGGAACUUGGGGUGGCCCGCGUAGGCGGGUCGUCCCGUAGCUAACGCGUUAAGUUCCGCGCCUGGGGAGUACGGUCGCAAGACUGAAACUCAAAGGAAUUGACGGGGGCCCGCACAAGCGGUGGAACAUGUGGUUCAAUUCGACGCAACGCGAAGAACCUUACCUGGGCUUGAACCGCUACUGACCAACGGUAGAAAUAUCGUCUUCCCGCAAGGGACAGUAGUAGAGGUGCUGCAUGGCUGUCGUCAGCUCGUGCCGUGGGGUGUUGGGUUAAGUCCCGCAACGAGCGCAACCCUUACUCGUAGUUGCUACCCGCAAGGGAGAACUCUACGAGGACUGCUCCGGAUAACGGAGAGGAAGGUGGGGAUGACGUCAAGUCAGCACGGCCUUUAUGUCCAGGGCUACACACGUGUUACAAUGCACGGUACAGACUGUUGCGAACCCGCGAGGGGGAGCUAAUCGGCCAAAACCGUGCUCAGUUCGGAUUGCAGUCUACAACUCGACGUGCAUGAAGCUGGAAUCGCUAGUAAUGGCGCAUCAGAUCGGCUCAGUGAUACGUUCCCG